Molecule: ribosomal RNA, 492 nt
Filed under: uncultured bacterium
Lineage: Bacteria
Description: partial 16S ribosomal RNA
Rfam family: Bacterial small subunit ribosomal RNA
Source: RNAcentral
AGUGAACGCUGGCGGUAGGCCUAACACAUGCAAGUCGAACGGCAGCACAGUAAGAGCUUGCUCUUACGGGUGGCGAGUGGCGGACGGGUGAGGAAUACAUCGGAAUCUACUUUUUCGUGGGGGAUAACGUAGGGAAACUUACGCUAAUACCGCAUACGACCUACGGGUGAAAGCAGGGGAUCUUCGGACCUUGCGCGAUUGAAUGAGCCGAUGUCGGAUUAGCUAGUUGGCGGGGUAAAGGCCCACCAAGGCGACGAUCCGUAGCUGGUCUGAGAGGAUGAUCAGCCACACUGUAACUGAGAAACGGUCCAGACUCCUACGGGAGGCAGCAGUGGGGAAUAUUGGACAAUGGGCGCAAGCCUGAUCCAGCCAUACCGCGUGGGUGAAGAAGGACUUCGGGUUGUAAAGCCCUUUUGUUGGGAAAGAAAAGCAGCAGGUUAAUACCCCGCUGUUCUGACGGUACCCAAAGAAUAAGCACCGGCUAACUUCGUG